This 402-nucleotide ribosomal RNA is filed under the name bacterium. RNAcentral's name for it is "partial 16S ribosomal RNA". It matches the Rfam family "Bacterial small subunit ribosomal RNA", at positions 355 to 776 of the family's 1533-position model. The record is from RNAcentral.
UGGGGAAUUUUGCACAAUGGGGGAAACCCUGAUGCAGCGACGCCGCGUGAUUUAGAAGGCCUUCGGGUUGUAAAAAUCUUUUCUAUGGGAAGAAAAUGACAGUACCAUAGGAAUAAGGACCGGCUAAUUACGUGCCAGCAGCCGCGGUAAUACGUAAGGUCCGAGCGUUGUCCGGAAUCAUUGGGCGUAAAGGGUACGUAGGCGGGUAAGCAAGUUAGAAGUGAAAUCCUAUAGCUCAACUAUAGUAAGCUUUUAAAACUGCUCAUCUUGAUGUAUGGAAGGGAAAGUGGAAUUCCUAGUGUAGCGGUGAAAUGCGCAGAUAUUAGGAGGAAUACCGGUGGCGAAGGCGACUUUCUGGCCAUAACCUGACGCUGAGGUACGAAAGCGUGGGUAGCAAACAGG